CCCUUCGAUGUUCUGGGCUGCACGCGCGCUACAAUGACACAUUCAACAAGUUUAUUUAAAUCGCUGUUUUGAAAAAAUUGGCAAAUCUUUUGAAAUUUUGUCGUACUAUGGAUUGUUGAUUGAAAUUAUUCGACAUGAAAAAGGAAUACCUAGUAAAUGUGAUUCAUCAAAUUGCAUUGAUUAUGUCCCUGCCCUUUGUACACACCGCCCGUCGCUACUACCGAUCGAGCGCCCUAGCGAGGUCGUCCGAUUGUCGCCGAGGCCGGCUUUCGCGAGCUGCGCAUCCGACGAAAAGGCGAUCGAACUCGAGCGCUUAGAGGAAGUAAAAGUCGUAACA
Molecule: ribosomal RNA, 337 nt
Filed under: uncultured eukaryote
Lineage: Eukaryota
Description: partial 18S ribosomal RNA
Rfam family: Eukaryotic small subunit ribosomal RNA
Source: RNAcentral